CCGAGUGAGGGCCUCCGGGCUCGACCUCCAACCCCAUGUUAUCCGACCCUGUUGCCUCGGGGGCGACCCGGCCCUGCGCCGGGGCCCCCGGUGGACCACUCAACGCUGCAUCGUUGCGUCCGAGUCUAGAUAUUGAAUCAAUCA
This 144-nucleotide unclassified non-coding RNA is filed under the name uncultured Ascomycota. RNAcentral describes it as "sequence contains ITS1". The record is from RNAcentral. Lineage: Eukaryota; Fungi; Ascomycota.